RNAcentral lists this ribosomal RNA (209 nucleotides) under Teratosphaeriaceae sp. RNAcentral's name for it is "partial large subunit ribosomal RNA". The record is from RNAcentral. Lineage: Eukaryota; Fungi; Ascomycota; Dothideomycetes; Mycosphaerellales; Teratosphaeriaceae.
AAGCGCUUGCAACCAGACUUGUGAACGGUGUUCCGCCGGUCUUUUGACCGGUCCAUUCGCCGUCUACAGGCCAGCAUCGUCUGGAGCCGUUGGAUAAAGGCGUGAGGAAUGUAGCUCCCUCGGGAGUGUUAUAGCCUCUCGCGCAAUACGGCGUGCUCCGGGCGAGGUCCGCGCUUCGGCUAGGAUGCUGGCGUAAUGGUCGUAAGCGG